CUGGGAGCUGCCUAGGAAUUGCAUUUAACAGGCACCCAGGUCUUUGGAAUGGCAUCUCUUCAUAUGCAACGUAGAAUAUAUGCUUACUGUAUUAGUCCACUUUGUGUUGCUGUGAAGGAAUACCUGAGGCUGGGUAAUUUAUAAAGAGAAGAAGUUUAAUUGUCUCAGAGUUCUUCAGGCUGUACAGGAAAUGUGGUGCCGGCAUCUGCUUCUGGUGAGGGCCUCAAAAAGCUUAAAAUCAUGGUGUUUUAUUUUUUGCUACUGAAAUUAACUUAAUUAUUUUUCAGAAGAAUAACAGUAUACUUUCCUGUAUUCUGAUAAUCGAUGUGAUAUUUUAAGUAGCUUACAAUUACAUUGACA
This 360-nucleotide long non-coding RNA is filed under the name Homo sapiens (human). Its description in RNAcentral is "HSALNT0018037". The record is from RNAcentral. Lineage: Eukaryota; Metazoa; Chordata; Mammalia; Primates; Hominidae.